UGCCGUCGUAAUAUGUUUAUUUGUUUGUUGCUGUUAGAGUUUCAAUUUACUUUUUUUGAACCAAAAUUUGUGGGCAGCAAUAAGGAAGUGCUGGCAUUGCAAUGUCAUAUCAGUGCUCCAGAGAAGUGUUCCUUUUUAGUUUUAACCAUGCAUUUUUUAAAUUAAUACUUGGUGACCAAUGGAAUCAAUCAGAAUAACAACUUCAGUGUAAUGAAGGAUAAAGCAUUUUUACUUUCAGCUCCUCCCCGUGCUUGUGAUGGAUUGGUCCAUUAUCUGUUAAUUUCUGCAUAACAAAAUGAAGGACUGGAUGGUAAGCUUAACAUUAUCAUCUCUCUAGUUAGACAAUCACAGUGGUAAAAAUAAUUUGGGGGAUAAGAAUAUUUUUUUGUGCUAGCAGCGAGCAGAUAUGUUCCUGCUAGUACAAUGUAUUGUUGAUGCAUAUUCAUUUCAUUAGUUCAUGAGGAAAUACUUUAGGUGCCCUUGCACGUCUUGUACUCAAACUGAAUAAUUUGUUUGGUGUCAUCUUUUCCAGAACAUGAAGACUGAAGAGCAAGAAGCACUAUAACUGGAGGCAAGAAGGGAGUAUUUUUUCUUUCAUGUGCUAUCAAGAUAACAAACCCGAUGCAAGUUUUGGUAGCAAUGUUUAUUCAGCGGGCAUCAUUUCAGUCCUUCAUUCUCAGGCUCGCUGUUCAUGUACACCAUGUCAUGUUUGUCUAGCCGAAUUAAGAUAGAUGACAUGCACUCAAAUAUUUCUGCCCAGGAUGAUCCACUUAGACAUGUAUUCAGAAAUUUGUGUGUCUUGUCAUGUAUUCAGAAAUUGGUGCUUGACAUGUACUCUCAUAUUUGUGUUUGGGGUGGUCCAACAUGGGAUGAACUAGUACAAGCAACUAUUGUAUAAUUUGGGCAUCAACGAUGUGAAGAUUUGAAAUUGGGAUAAAACGAUUGGAUAUGAGAAAGUUGGGGUUCUUACUGCAAA
Molecule: long non-coding RNA, 976 nt
Filed under: Triticum aestivum (bread wheat)
Lineage: Eukaryota; Viridiplantae; Streptophyta; Magnoliopsida; Poales; Poaceae
Description: long non-coding RNA (TAES_LNC024405)
Source: RNAcentral